ACCUGACUCCAUCCCGAACUCAGAAGUGAAACACAAUCGCGCCGAUGGUAGUGUGGGGUCUCCCCAUGUGAGAGUAGGUCAUCGCCAAGC
This 90-nucleotide ribosomal RNA is filed under the name Shewanella fodinae. The record is from RNAcentral. Lineage: Bacteria; Pseudomonadati; Pseudomonadota; Gammaproteobacteria; Alteromonadales; Shewanellaceae.